RNAcentral lists this ribosomal RNA (799 nucleotides) under Phyllopsora cinchonarum. RNAcentral's name for it is "SSU rRNA". It matches the Rfam family "Bacterial small subunit ribosomal RNA", at positions 370 to 1210 of the family's 1533-position model. Lineage: Eukaryota; Fungi; Ascomycota; Lecanoromycetes; Lecanorales; Ramalinaceae. The record is from RNAcentral.
AAUAGCCUAACGGCUGAACCAGCAACUUGGAGGAAUGAAUAGCGAAAGCUAAUUGCAACAUAGAUAUGUUGCAAUAUCGACUAUGUCGAAUAAAAUUCUGGUUAGAAUUAUGAUAAUGACAUUGUUUAACCAUGUGUCUUGACUAAAUUACGUGCCAGCAGUCGCGGUAAUACGUAGAAGACUAGUGUUAUUCAUCUUUAAUAGGUUUAAAGGGUACCUAGACGGUAAAUCAAGCCAUAAUAGGAACUAAUUUACUAGAGUUACUUACGUGGGGGUUUUAAAGUACUAAUGGUGUAGAGAUAAAAUUUUGUAAUACCAUUUUUCGAAAGAAAAGUUAUGGCACUGGUAAAGGCGAAAGCAUCCCCUUAUGUGAUAACUGACGUUAAAGGACGAAGGCUUUGGAUCGCGAAUAGGAUUAGAUACCCUAGUAGUCAAAGCAGAAAAUUAUGAGUGUCAUAGAUUAGAUGUAAAUAUUUAUUCUAUAAAUGAAAAUGUAAGCACUCCACCUCAAGAGUAAUUUGGCAACAUUGGAACUGAAAUCAUUAGACCGUUUCUGAAACCAGUAGUGAAGUAUGUUGUUUAAUUUGAUAAUCCGCAAAAAACCUUACCACAGCUUGAAUAUUUAUAUCUUUGGUAUAUUUACAAGCGUUGCACGGCUGUCUUCAGUUAAUGUCGUGAGACUUUGGUUAGAUCCAUUGAAUUAACGUAAGCCCUUACUUUAUUUAUAGAUAAAGUAGUUCUCCGCUAUAUUGGAUAAGAUAAAAGGGACUAAGACAAGUCAUCAUGGCCUGAAUGCUGU